Oreochromis aureus is the source of this 1076-nucleotide long non-coding RNA. RefSeq lists it as uncharacterized. The record is from RefSeq and is a predicted model, not a curated record. The transcript has 9 exons. Lineage: Eukaryota; Metazoa; Chordata; Actinopteri; Cichliformes; Cichlidae.
GUCAGCUCAAGAUAUUAUUGUUGUCAUUGCUGUGGAUCUUUACCUGAUACACUGACUUGGUGGAAGCCUCCGUUCUCCUCCCUCAUCUUCUCCCUUUUCUGGGCUUGAACCAAACUGUAGACCACAGCUCCCAGUGUGUUCCUAUUGAGGCUGAAGCCCCGCCCCCCGCCACGCUCUAUGAAGCUGGAUCGUUCCUCCCGACUGCUCACGAAGUACGUUCGAACCUGAAGGGAAAACACUUUGAUCAGAGAUCUCAUAGCUUAGAUCUUUUGGUCAUGUGUGUGGUCACAUGAUGAUGAUGGCUCACCUUUCCAUGGCGUUCACUAAUCCCUUUGAGAUAAACGUCCCCUCUGAGCUGCCUCAGAAAGCCUCGUUCAACCAGAAUAGAGCUGGUGAGCUCACCUGUAUCCGCCCGCUCACACCGGUGCUCUCCAUCCUGCUCGCCAUGUUCACCGUCGUCCCCCAGAUGUCGUACUGAGGUUUGGUGGCUCCAAUCACACCUGCUAUCACCGGACCGUGAGCCACACCUGGAAGUGAUGUCAGAGGUCAAAGCUGGAAGCUGUUUCCUGUCUGUGUGUUGAUGUGUUUUAGAGUUUCCUGCAUGGCAAGAGCAAACAGGACCAACUCGCUCAGUGUGAUUUAUGACCUCAUCAAAGUCGCUGAUGAUGUGGUUAAGGAGGCGGAGACACUCAACAUGCUGAUGAAGGACCUCCUUUUCCUCGUAGAAGUCGGAGAAUCCAGGCAGAGAGGCAAACAGCACGCCCACUCGCUCAUACGACUGUGUAGACGGCAGCAAACAGCAGUAGAACGGCCAGCUGCAACACGCAGCUCAGUCUGAGGAACACGGCACAGCCGAGGGAGGCGGAGCCAGCAGGGAGUCCCUGCUGCUGAUGUCAGUUUCUGAUGAAUCACACCACAGCUAGUGGAAGCAAGCAAGAAGAGAACAACAGAACAACAUUUUGAGAAACUUUAGAAAUUCAAGGUGAUUACAAUCAGGAUAGUCUUUUAUACCUAUGGAGAAUCAUCAUCAAAUAGUAAUCCUCACACUGUGUUGUGUCAACAUUGCUUCUUAAAAU